Molecule: long non-coding RNA, 838 nt
Filed under: Mus spicilegus (steppe mouse)
Lineage: Eukaryota; Metazoa; Chordata; Mammalia; Rodentia; Muridae
Description: lncRNA (ENSMSIG00000019019.1)
Source: RNAcentral
UUCCUAGCAACCUUACCUUGUCAGACAAGUUAAAAGGUCAACUAUUUAUAAGGUGCGGCAACAGUCUGGUUAGCUCUGACUGAGUCAUGGGCAGGGUGUGGAGGCCUUUGAAGUCAAAGGUGGGUUUGAAGUAAAUGGGUUUGUUUCUUAUUGCUGCUUUCUAAACUCCCAGGAGGAGAAAGGGAUGCCGAUGGGGAGAGGACCAGAGGAAGGAAAGAGGUGAGAGCGAAGGCCGAGUGUGCCACACAUCAGGAGCUGGUUAUGCAAGUCACGUGCUCUCUAAUUGACUCUGUAAGCCACCUUGUAAAGUAGCUACCCCUGUGUUUAUUUUGUGGGGAAAGUAAAUAUGCAUCAGAAAGUUUAAGAAAAUUGCCCGCAGUUACUUAGCCAAUCAGAAUGGAGCAGGAUGUCGGCAUCCAAGCUGGGAGCUGUUUAUCCUUAUGUUGUUUCUCUUCGCAUUUAACCAAGAUGAUUCUGCAUCUGCUUGUCCUGUGCUGUGUGUUGGGCAUGAUGAUGUAAUAAUGAAGACACCCUUCUCAAUUCCCUGAGCACAAGGUGUUCCCUGGCUGGUAGCAAACUCAGACGUUGAAACAGUUUCCAUGCAGAGCGCCCCCUCUCCGCCUCCUAGUGCCCCAGGUGCCUCAGGUGUAGAGGGACUGAAGAUUUUCGGAAACCCCUCUCACACGCGGACAUUGGGCACAAAACAGACAAGAAAGAGGUUGGGAGGAUGGAAGAGAGAGGAGUUGCCUGGAUUGCUUUAUGUCAACUUAUAGAAGCUUAAGGUAUCUGAGAGGAAGGAACCUCGAUUGAGAAAAUGCCUCCAUACAAUCAGGCUGUG